Long non-coding RNA from Acanthopagrus latus (yellowfin seabream), 1137 nucleotides. RefSeq lists it as uncharacterized. The record is from RefSeq and is a predicted model, not a curated record. NCBI's taxonomy places the organism in Eukaryota, Metazoa, Chordata, Actinopteri, Spariformes, Sparidae. The transcript has 2 exons.
UGAAAGGAAGCCUCAGCUUUGCCCUUCUGACUGUUAGCUGCACUUAAUGACAGAACAGAAGAUCACUGACGGUUCUGGAACAUCGUGACGUGUACAACACUCACAUUGCAUUCUGUUCCGUAACUCACCUCUGUACUCUCUGGGUUAAGCAGCUUUCUCAACACCUUAUUAUACAAGCCCAACUUUCUACUCCCAGGAGACAGCAGGGGCAGAAGCUGGAACAACAAACUACAAUAGACUCUGUUUCUGUGGUUGCAGCAAGAAGUGCCGAAUUAAUCAGAGAUGUAAUUCUGCCAGCUCACCUGCAGUCUGGAGGGGGGAAUGUUUUUCUUCCCGUGGCACGGGAUAUCCAUCACCUUGUCACGAUGAUUUCAAAGGUCACCCAGUCGACCAGGUGGGCGGGGUCAUCACUGUCACUCUGCCUUCCAUUGGACGGCUGGGCAGUGGUUUGAUUGAUGGAAAAGCCGAGGACCAGAGCUGCUUCUACUGCACAGAUUGAUGAAUGGUUUAUUUUUCUCACAAGGACACACAAGACGGAUUUGUUUGCAAAAUGGGCGGGGCUGUAUAAUUUCUGGACUCGUGUAAAAUGGAGGAUAUGUGUGCGUUUGAUUUCCUCCCCUUCAGUUUAAUUUCAGUACUUGGAUAAAUAUGUGUUCUGACAUUUUUCAUUUCUAGACUGAAAAAUAAAUGUCACAUUAGGCCUGAAUGGUUUAUACUGUGACUGGCAAUGUUCUCCUAUCUGUGCUCUCUACUCACGCUGUGACACAUAUUUUGGUUCUUUGUAUUUUGAAUGUGGGUGGAACAUCAUCAGGAUUUGUUCAGGAAUUGUUGAAUUGUCAGGUUGUUUUUGUGUUGCUGCAGAUUUGUAUUGGCGCCCCUCAACUGAAUUUACUGGAACAAUUAUCUGUAGAUUAUAAUAGAGAAGCACAUUUGCAAUUUUCUUGGCAGAUUCAGAUUUCUGUUUUUUUUUUUUUUUGUCUGACCUGCUGACUUCAAUUUUGGUUGAUUCUGAUUAUCUUCCUUUCUAAGAAAUUAAAUCAACAGCAUAAAGCAGGAUUUUCUGAAACUCUUUUUAAUGGAAAAUUAAAUGGUAUGUUUGUAGUAAAACAUAGAUUAAUAAAUAACUGAUAAAGAAGA